UGCCGCGUGUGUGAAGAAGGCCCUCGGGUUGUAAAGCACUUUCAGCGAGGAAGAACGCCUAGCGGUUAAUACCCGCUAGGAAAGACAUCACUCGCAGAAGAAGCACCGGCUAACUCCGUGCCAGCAGCCGCGGUAAUACGGAGGGUGCAAGCGUUAAUCGGAAUUACUGGGCGUAAAGCGCGCGUAGGUGGCUUGAUAAGCCGGUUGUGAAAGCCCCGGGCUCAACCUGGGAACGGCAUCCGGAACUGUCAAGCUAGAGUGCAGGAGAGGAAGGUAGAAUUCCCGGUGUAGCGGUGAAAUGCGUAGAGAUCGGGAGGAAUACCAGUGGCGAAGGCGGCCUUCUGGACUGACACUGACACUGAGGUGCGAAAGCGUGGGUAGCAAACAGGAUUAGAUACCCUGGUAGUCCACGCCGUAAACGAUGUCGACCAGCCGUUGGGUGCCUAGCGCACUUUGUGGCGAAGUUAACGCGAUAAGUCGACCGCCUGGGGAGUACGGCCGCAAGGUUAAAACUCAAAUGAAUUGACGGGGGCCCGCACAAGCGGUGGAGCAUGUGGUUUAAUUCGAUGCAACGCGAAGAACCUUACCUACUCUUGACAUCCUGCGAAUUUGGUAGAGAUACCUUAGUGCCUUCGGGAACGCAGAGACAGGUGCUGCAUGGCUGUCGUCAGCUCGUGUUG
RNAcentral lists this ribosomal RNA (680 nucleotides) under Halomonas sp. M5. RNAcentral describes it as "bacterial SSU rRNA". It matches the Rfam family "Bacterial small subunit ribosomal RNA", at positions 395 to 1067 of the family's 1533-position model. The record is from RNAcentral. Lineage: Bacteria; Pseudomonadati; Pseudomonadota; Gammaproteobacteria; Oceanospirillales; Halomonadaceae.